This is a long non-coding RNA of Micropterus salmoides (largemouth bass), 2165 nucleotides long. RefSeq lists it as uncharacterized. NCBI's taxonomy places the organism in Eukaryota, Metazoa, Chordata, Actinopteri, Centrarchiformes, Centrarchidae. The transcript has 4 exons. The record is from RefSeq and is a predicted model, not a curated record.
CCUGAUGUGUCUCACCUGUUCACUUCCUCCCUGCUGCUGUGUGUUUUGUAUUUAAUGCCUUUGGUUUUGUUCAGCCUUUGUGGUGUCGUCUUUGUUAAAUUUUGAACAUCUCAGAGUGUUCUCCAUGUUGUUCCCUGCCUUUGAAGAUUUGGAUGUAUCUUCAUUUCAUCUUGUAUUUCAGUUUACCCCUUACCGAAUUUUCCUGAGUUUUGACUUUGCUUUUGUUGUUGGAACUUAAGUUUAUUAUUUUGGAUGUGCCAACUGCCGGACUCUUGCUACAACUGCACAUAAGAUCCUACUCGCUGUUCGCUGCUUACUCCUUGAGACUGACCUGACAAUCUUACCACGAGACGCUGAACCAUGGCUAGUGUAACCAAGGAGGGUGCAGCUGGCGGACGGGCUGUGAGAAUUAGCUCACUAAACACUGCAAAGCCACCAAAGGAUACACCAGCAGAGCGACUUCUACGUAGGAAGAACCCCCAAUAUGCCUCUGACAUGAGACUGAUACAACACAAGUCGACCCCGAGGAGAAACACAAGACUCUGUGGAAGGAGAGUUCUCUGCUGGGAAAGACGAGAACAGAAAAGAACAGCGUGUACCCUUGGCCACCACAUACCUUCACAAGUAGAGGGUUGUUUAUCCAACUUGAGUCCCUUUAUGAGUUCCUUUUUUAAACUCAGGCAUAGGCUUUUUUUCCCUGAGCUGUUCCAAGCCGUUUCCUUACUUUGAAGUGGGGAUGAGGUCACUAAUGUUGGACAGGCUAUCAGAACUCCCUGCAGUGCAGAGCUAUUCCGACUGGAAGGAAACACUAUACCUUUCUGAAUAUCCUGCACACACACACACUCUCCUUACCCUCUUUCCCUUACCUUUCACACCAUACACUAGGGAUGAUCUUGGCCUGUGGUCCGUCUAUGUGUCUCUGAACCUGUGUGGCUAAAUCAGUGCCUCAGGCCGCUGAAAACCACCAACUAGUAAGCCACAGAUGUGAUGCAGGAGAAGCCUCAGCUGCCUUCCGCUAGCUCUAAUGAAAAUCCAAGGAGGAAUGAAAGAGACCAGAGGGUGCAUGCAAAUCAAUAUGCGCACACUGAGUCAACAGUACAAAUUUGUUUCCAUUAGCAGUUGUUUCUUUUCACCAGUUUAAUAUAAUGUUUUCUCAGCCGCUAGCAAUGCAGCAUUAAAGUGCAUUUAAACAAAGCUGAUUUCAAUUAGACUGCAGUGCUGGUUCUUCAUACAAGUGAACAUCUGUUUGCUAUUCUUGUUGAAUGAAGAAUUUUACACCUGGCAAACAUAGGAUAAGUCAUUACUUAAAAGGGUUCUAUUGAAAGCUUGGUUUCACUGUUUAAUCAACAAGACAAUUUGUUUUGUUGAUAUCAGUCAUCUGUUUCAUUUGAUAAAGACUGAAUGCUUUUCCAAUAUGCGUUACCAAGCAACACUCAAGGACUCUCAGUGUAUACCAUGGAUAGCCAUAUCAGACACUCAUCUUGCAUGUAGAGAGAAUAAUGCAUUAAAUAAAGCUUUUGUCUAGAACUGUUCAAACUUCAUCUAUAUAGUCUGGUGAAGGUCUGUAUUAGCAGUGUAGAGAUGUGAUCUCCUGGAGACUUUUCCCUCUGUUAUGUGUAUGAGCCUUUUGCAAAAUGAAAAAUUUCCUAAUAAAAAUAAAAACUUAACACUGUAGAAAAUUAUAAUAUUUUUGUUUAUACUGCAAAGGUUGAGCUCGUAAUCAUGAAAUCAAUUGAAAAUAGUUCAGUAUGCAGACUGCAUAUGCAUGUAUAUUUAUGUACUUGUGUAUAGGUUAUUGUAGUGUAAUAGAGUCGGGAAUCUUGUGGGAGUGAGCGGGAUGAGAUAGGUGUUGCCUCUGCAGCUUCACAUGUCUGUACUGGCCUUGCUGCAGACACUGCAGGACCAUUACAUCAUUUGGCUCUCGUAUUUUCCCGUUGUCCAAAUUAAACCUGACUGACCUGUUAUAUUUCUUACGCUACACUAGGCAAGACUUUUAGAUAGAGCCUUUCUGGUAGGUGUGUAUCCUGUUCACAUUUAUAAUUAACUUUGAUUGUUGACUUAAUUGUUGACCAGGUUCUCUUGUCUUGAGGAGUACUACUCAGCCUUUGAAAACAUUGUACAAUUUCACCUGUGGCUCUGGAGGAUCUUUUUCAAGCCUGAGGGGG